AUGGUUAACUAUUCACUUGACCCAGAAAAUACCACAAAGCCGUGCAAAUCAAGAGGUUCAAAUAUUUGUGUUCACAUUAAGAACAUCUGUGAAAUUGCCCGGGCCAUCAAGGGGAUGCAUAUAUGGAAAGCUACCAAGCUGGCCUAAAAAAGGUGCUGAAUUUUUGCUGCACAUGCUUAAAAAUGCAGAGAAUAGCAUCGAACUUGAGGGUUUAGAUGUAGAUUCUCUGGUCAUUGAGCACAUUCAGGUGAACAAAGAACCCAAGACGUGCCACUGGAUUUAUGGAGCUCACAGUCAGAUGAACCAUACAUGAGCUCUUCCUGCCACAUCCAGAUGACCUUUACUGAUUCCACAGAAAAAAAGAAAACACCCUAGAAGAAACUCAAGAAACAAAAAUUUACAGCAUGGGAA
Molecule: long non-coding RNA, 411 nt
Filed under: Homo sapiens (human)
Lineage: Eukaryota; Metazoa; Chordata; Mammalia; Primates; Hominidae
Description: non-protein coding lnc-FAM9C-7:1
Source: RNAcentral